This is a long non-coding RNA of Dromaius novaehollandiae (emu), 2778 nucleotides long. RefSeq lists it as uncharacterized. The transcript has 7 exons. Lineage: Eukaryota; Metazoa; Chordata; Aves; Casuariiformes; Dromaiidae. The record is from RefSeq and is a predicted model, not a curated record.
UCCAGGCCAAGAUUAGGAGAACUAAAAUUUUGGAUUUUUGAUUGUUGAUAAGGAAAAAUAAAAUCCUAAAACACAGCAGACCUUUUAUUUCUACAGUGAAAAUGCCAGCACAAUGAGGAACGUCUUUUGGCAAUGUUUUUCAAAUUUUUUGGCAGGCAAACAGUCCUGAUGUGUGCAGCAUUUUGUGCAAUACAUGUGCUCCAGAUGAAACCCAAAGGCUGCCUUCAGAGUGGGAUCAUACUGUUACUUCCAGUGUGGGCCAUAGGGGUGCAGAGGGAGUUCCUGAAAAUAGAGGAAACUGAGUCAGAGUGGACCUGUUUCUUGCUCCCACUAUGUUCACCUAACUUACUUCACUGAGACUGACAAAGACUGAUGAUCUCAAAAAACUGAAUGCAACCCAAUAUGAAUGUGAACAUGUGGAAUAAAAGAACCAAAUUUGUAAUGCUGUGCUAAGUAGUUCCAGAAAAUGAUACUGUAACGUAUUGGCUCCUGCAAUGGGGACAGAACCUACAAUGAAGCAAACUAGGGCUUAAAAUGAAUCCGGAUCUGGUCUCAAAUUCAAAACCUGUAUUGAUGCAGUAAAAUAAAGACAGCCUUCUUCAGCAGAACAGCAACAAGCCUACAGACAAAUGUCACUAGCUGGAAGACUGUGUGCAGAGCACUUGGAGACAGCACUGGCUGCUUGGCAGAACUUCUGGAGGAGAAUCUUUCGCAGUAGCAGCCUAGAAAAGCAAGACACCAGCAAGGGCUGAACUGAUUUGCUACAGAUUGCACCGAACACCUGCAACAGAAGGAAAACUCAGCUCGGGAUGUAGUGCUCCAGCCGCAAGAUGACUGUCUAUUAGCAGCUGUUUAUUCAGUAAAAAAUCUCCUCUGAAAAUCCCUGGAUUCUUACUUAAACUGGAUGUCUUCAGCUGCUAAAUGAUGCUCUGAAGUGUUGCUGUUGCACGGUGAAGCAAAUUGUUCACAGAUGCACUCUGAACUACCUUACGUUAACCAGCCGGGCAGCAGUCACACACCUGAGUGCGAAGGGCUGCCAGCCAGGACAUGUUCAACUGCCCCUGCAAUUGCCUGGGGCACCUCAGGCGCCGGCAGCGGCAGCGAGGCCAGGGCUGGCCUCCCACUCGCCUGUCCGCUCUGAGUGUCAGGGGAUCUCUGCUGGCCUUUGCCAGCUCCCUGAAUAUAUUCUGAUGGUACCAAUGUUUCUUAAAGCAGACCCUGCUUUAACUCAUGCCUGCUCCGCAGCGGCCUCCCCUUCACUGCCCACAGAUCCACUCAGUGAGAUGGGGCCAGACUACAUUGAUUUGGCUUGUGACUUUUGAAACUGCAAAAUCACUGGAAGGAAAAAACACUGAGAGGACUCACUGCACCGUCACUGAUUUUUCUGAGUUUUCAGGUUUGGAAAGAAGAAGAAAGAGCACCUGGUGUUAGACGUUUUUGCUCAGUGCUACGAGGCUGCUUAAACCCAACCCGUGCAACAGCCUCAGCUGCCUCUGCUGCAAAGGACACAGCAGCACCUGCUUCUAAACAGAAAACACAAAAACAAUGGCCGAGAGGCAGAUAUACUUCCUUGACUGAAUCCUAGCAAUUGUCAUCUAUUUUUUCAUCUAUUUAAUUAUGGACAAGCAUGGAGCAGUAACUUUUGUGAAAGUUAAAAAUGUAACUGUUUCCCUUUGGGACUUAGCUGUGCACAUCAGCAGCACAGCAGGACUCUGAAUAACUCCUACGGAGACGUGGCACAAUAAUGGAAAAGGUUAGCCAAGACACCUAGGACUGACGGCAGAAUUAAUGCAGUGAGACGCUGAAAGAGUGGUAGGACAGUCUUUGGGGUUAAGUUAUGAGAAAUAACUUCCUUGGGGGUUUUAGGAGUAGAAUAUUGUUCUUUGCUCUCAAGUUCUCUGAAUUUGCAGUGUGGUUUCAAGGUUAAUUUUGUUACAAGCUACUAACUGUCUCUGUAAAGUUAAUUUAGGGCCGCUGAUAGAUUUUUUUAAUUUGUUUUCUGUUUUGGGGAGCUGAUGAAAUUCACAAGGAUAACAUUACUAAACUAAUUUGUUUUAUAUUUUUACCUCACACACACAAAUAUUAGCUCUGUCAGCUAUUCCUCUUACUAUCGCUCCACUAACAAGAACUCGAGCUCUCUGUACAUAGGAAGAAAAAAAUCCUUCUCAGACCAUGAAGUAGCUGUCACAUAACUUCAUAAUCAUUAUAGCUAUCUACACCUCUUUCCUGCUAAAGGACCCCAAGGACAGAAAGUCCAAAAAUCACACUGUCCUCUGACAGCAGAAUAAGCUGCCCUUUUUACCUGGUGUACAGGACUCCUAGAUGUGCCCUCAUCCCAUAUGGCAGAGGCAGACUGGGAUUCAUACUUCUGUGAGCCUAAAUCAUGAGGAGGGAUUUAUCUCAGUUUGACCAAGGCGGGGGGAGGGGGAACGACAUAGAAGUGAGGAAGCACAAAGCAGAGGAGAGAUACGCAAGGGUUCUUUAAAAAAACAAAACACUGCCCUAAAUAAGAUAUAGUGAACAAUCUUAUGAAAACCAGAAGCUACUUGCAAAGCCACAAGUCACAGUUUUUUCUCAUAAAGCAUUAAAGUAGGGUUUUGCCACAAAGUGGGAAUAAAUAAAAAGUAUUAAAUAACUCUUUCCCAUUAGCACAGGGCUUCAUCUCAAUAAUGUCUGGAUAAACUUCUUCACAGGCUCCCCCAGAUGAGGAGCAAGGAGGUACUGGUUUCCCUUGUUCCACCAUCUCCAGACCCUGUUUGCACUAGCAAGUAUGUAAAA